UACGGAGGAUGCAAGCGUUAUCCGGAUUUAUUGGGUUUAAAGGGUGCGCAGGCGGGAGAUUAAGUCGGCGGUGAAAUUUUGCAGCUCAACUGUAAAAGUGCCUUCGAAACUGGUUUCCUUGAGUGUGGAUGAAGUAGGCGGAAUUUGUGGUGUAGCGGUGAAAUGCAUAGAUAUCACGAGGAACUCCGAUUGCGCAGGCAGCUUACUAAACCAUAACUGACGCUCAGGCACGAAGGCGUGGGGAUCAAACAGGAUUAGAUACCCCU
This 266-nucleotide ribosomal RNA is filed under the name uncultured prokaryote. Its description in RNAcentral is "partial 16S ribosomal RNA". It matches the Rfam family "Bacterial small subunit ribosomal RNA", at positions 524 to 788 of the family's 1533-position model. The record is from RNAcentral.